GAUGAACGCUGGCGGCGUGCCUAAUACAUGCCAGUCGAGCGAACAGACGAGGAGCUUGCUUCUCUGACGUUAGCGGCGGACGGGUGAGUAACACGUGGAUAACCUACCUAUAAGACUGGGAUAACUUCGGGAAACCGGAGCUAAUACCGGAUAAUAUUUUGAACCGCAUGGUUCAAUAGUGAAAGACGGUCUUGCUGUCACUUAUAGAUGGAUCCGCGCUGCAUUAGCUAGUUGGUAAGGUAACGGCUUACCAAGGCAACGAUGCGUAGCCGACCUGAGAGGGUGAUCGGCCACACUGGAACUGAGACACGGUCCAGACUCCUACGGGAGGCAGCAGUAGGGAAUCUUCCGCAAUGGGCGAAAGCUUGACGGAGCAACGCCGCGUGAGUGAUGAAGGUCUUCGGAUCGUAAAACUCUGUUAUUAGGGAAGAACAAAUGUGUAAGUAACUAUGCACAUCUUGACGGUACCUAAUCAGAAAGCCACGGCUAACUACGUG
Molecule: ribosomal RNA, 497 nt
Filed under: uncultured bacterium
Lineage: Bacteria
Description: partial 16S ribosomal RNA
Rfam family: Bacterial small subunit ribosomal RNA
Source: RNAcentral